UGCGCGCGAGUGGGCGCGCGUGCGCACGCAGGGGUGUGCCUGUGACCCCGCAAAGCACCAGAGGGUGCGUCUAAGACUUGGAUAUGUGCGGGACCGACCUCAGGCAUGGAUGCAACAGUGAGCCAGCCUAUCCGCCGAGCUCAUUAGAAUCACAAGACAACACAGGAGCCAUCAUCAGCUAACCUACCUUAUCUCCACUUGGAAUUCUGCACCCCAACUUUUGUCCUCAGCCCCAAGGUCUCAUUUGUGAGGAAACUUGAUCGCAUGACAUAAAAUCGGUGGCUCUGCACUGCACAACGUCCCUUCCACUCUGAACAAAGCCCUGAACUCUCUAAGGAGUCUGCAAGUGCAUAAUGUAAAACAUAACCCUCUGGGGAGACAGGGGACAGCAGCAUUUGGUGUCUCAAAAAGCAAUUAUCACCUGCACCCAAAUGCCUGACCCAGCUGCAGAAUCUCUCGCCUCACAGCCCGCAGGGAAGCUGUCCGCACCGUGGUUCGCAGCAGUGGGGCCAAGGAGAUGAGGAAGAUGUCACUUUUGCACAGUGCUCUUAGCAGGUGUAUUUUGGGCACGUCCAGAAGUCCGAUGCAGGCACAACAAGGCACCUGUAUGCAAGGACCAUCCCGUCAGAAUUCCAGAAGAGAAGUCCUUCAAAGUGUCGGGAAGGAAAAAUUCCUCCUCUACCCUUCAAGGUGUUCCAGCUGGUUCAGGAACUAAAUCAACAUGAGACAGACUAACCAGAGGAGAAAAAAAAACAAAAGCCAAAAACCAAAAAACUUCGAAGUUUUGUUACGUGUGCA
Molecule: long non-coding RNA, 798 nt
Organism: Felis catus (domestic cat)
Lineage: Eukaryota; Metazoa; Chordata; Mammalia; Carnivora; Felidae
Exons: 2
Source: RefSeq, a predicted model, not a curated record